This is a long non-coding RNA of Monomorium pharaonis (pharaoh ant), 6456 nucleotides long. RefSeq lists it as uncharacterized. Lineage: Eukaryota; Metazoa; Arthropoda; Insecta; Hymenoptera; Formicidae. The transcript is spliced from 2 exons. The record is from RefSeq and is a predicted model, not a curated record.
AGGAAAUGACGAAGAAACUUCAUGAAAAACGCAGUUUUCAACAAGAUAAUGUAGAAAAUUAAGUAUCUUAAUCUCUAUCAUUCUCUCACAUAAAAAUUGUUUCUCUUAACACAAUUUUCUAAAGUGUUUUUAUAAAAUAAAAUAUUUCUCGUCUUCGUACGUAUAUAUCAUAUUUGACUCUUAAUGAUGCACAACAGUACCUGGAAACUAUUACUAAAUCGAAAAUACGAAUACGGGAUAUGGAAGUAUCGUAAAAAUCUUUAGUUGAUUUAGAGCCCACCCAGACCAGACCAACAUCAGACCCAAGCGUCGCAUCGAAUCGUCGGAUGUCGACAAUAAGAAGCUUACCGAGUUACACGGAGCCUGGGCGAAGCCCGGGCCUCUCGGUCGAGCUCUCGUUUUAUGCCACGUUUACCGAGCGUGAAACACUCUCUUCAGACAUGUGUCCUCUUCCGAUUUUCCCGGGAAUCUAAAUCAGCGUUUAAAUCAGCGACCCGCUAAGCUGGUACGUCUGGGCCAUAUUCUCACGAACAGAGAAACGUGGACUCAUAAAAGCGCGAAAAAAUCGAAAGUGAUCGAUUUUUCAUGCGAUAUAUAGCAUUAUUAAUAAAUAAUAUAACGUAUAUUAAAAUAUAAUAAAAAUAAUAUAUAAUUAAAUCAAAUUUAAUAUCAAAUAAUUAUAUAGAUGUACUUAUUUAGAUUCACUAGAUAUAAUUAUCUAUAAAAAAAUAUUAUAACAUAAGAAUCUGAGAAAUAUGCAGUUAUGUUUCCAAUCAAGUGCAUCAUUUGCCUUUGAGUUGACAUGUGUUGAAUAACAGCUCGUAAGACGUAACGCACUUGACGUUCCCUGUAUAUCAGUGUAAUUAGAUAUACCCAUCGCUCACGAUUACGGAAACUACGUGCAGGUGUGUUUCGUCCUAGACAAUUUGCAUCGAGCUCCGCGCUCAUAGGUGUUCGCUACGUAAUUGCGUGGACACUUCGAAACGUACGGUUAUCAUGUUAUAGAUAACGGUCACUCGUCAUCGUUAUUAUAGUUCCCCGCAGUCGCGCAAACGGCGACGUUCUCCUCGAGAAAGGAUCCUGGCGCUGUCCGUCAAGGAAUCCUCAUUCAUUCCACUUCUGAGAAAAACCCGUCCGUGACAGAAAGAGUUUACCUCGUAAUUUUCAUCGCCGCGAUAAUCGUGUUACGAGUAAAUCGUGAAAUAUUGUCUGUACAGUGGUAAAGCUUCUUAACUUUGUUAAGAAUAUCUGUCCUAACAUGUUGUACGAAAUACAAAGUUAAAGAAGAUAAUAAAAUUUUUCACUUUUAUUUCAGACUUUGUAUAUCACGCGAUAAAAUUACUAAAAUUAAAUUACUAAAAUUAAAUUACAAUUCUUCGCACGGUAUAUUUUUCUUUUUAAGCUUCUUAAUCGCAAAAGGCCGUACUCUUUGAGACCGGUCUCGGAUAUAUUUGUUUUUGCACCAUGACGAAAACCACGAAUUUGCCUGAUUGGUCGCUUGUUCUAGCCGCGUUUUCUCGACGAGGAUCGUGAACCGGAGGACCAGCGAGACUUUAUUAUUAAGUUUCGCGUUUACCUUGCGGUGCACCACCGCGACAAUUAACUGCAAACGAGUGCACGCGAGAGGGUGUUGUCGGCCGAGCGGCUUUUCCGGGGUGCGCUCUGCGCCGACGAGGGGGUGUUUAUUAAUUAAUGAAGCGCGCGCGAUGUGCAUGACUUGAAUCACAAACAACGUUGGGAAGACGAGCCUUUGCGCGAAGGGACCAGAACUGUUGUCCUCACUUUAUGAAAACUGAUAAUAUGGAAUAUUGAUAGAGAAAGAAAUAAGCAAGAUAGCAGUCUAAAGCUGGAUACAAUUAUUAUUGAAAAAAAAAGAGGAAAAUUACUGGAACUUGUGUAUUUAGAACAUUUUGAGUUCAGAAUCAGAAAACGCAACAUCAAGAAUUUCAUUAUACUUAUAAAAAUUUUAUUAGUACUUAAAAAUAUUAAAUUUUUUAAUAUUAAAUUUCUUCAUAAUUAAUUCGCAAAUUAAAAUUAUAUAGAAUUACAAAAUAUAAUGAAGCAUAAGUUUUUUUGUUUUUUCUCAUUUUACUUUUAUUCUCUCGUUAAGACUUUUUAAUAGCUACGUAUUGAUAUUUCGGGAAAAUAAUACACCUCAAAGUCGAUGCAGUCUUCAUAUAGUAUAACUCGAAAGUACAUUUCUUCCUAACUUUGGAUCUAAAAUAAGAAGAAUCAUUUGUUUUGAAGUAGAGACGCAAAUGGUUUUUAAGUAGUAAACAAGUGAAAAUUAUAAAGGUUUUAGCGAAUUGAGUUUAAGAAUGUGAGUAAUGUAAUUUCUAUAACUUCGACACUUCUUACAUUUUUAUUGUUUAAAAAUGUAAGUAAUGGAAUUCUUAUGACUUCAACACUUUUUACAUUUUUAUCGUUUACAAGAUACUCGAGAAAUGGAUCAAAAAUUAAAAGACCACACACGCGCAAUUUCUUUAAACAAACUCUCGACGUAAUCUCAUACAUUUUUAAUAUAAAAAAUAGCAUUUCUUUCCGUUUCUCUCCUUCUUUCCCUCUCGAAUAAGUAUUCCAUUGUUGGAUAUCGAAUGUACAUGGGGUUAUCAAUUCAAGGACAAGAAUUUGACGAAUAUGGCAGAAGACGUUAACACAUCCGCGCACGCGACUUACACAAGGAUAAAAAGCCGGACGGAACAAAAACGGAAGAGGAAGCGCCCGCGCGCACGGGGUCGAGCGGACACGGAGAGAAGGAAGAGAGCAGAAAAGAAAGAGGAUUACACGGGAGGCAGAGAGGGUGAACGAACAACGAUGGAGGCUCGAGGGCGGCUGAAGAGGACGAGGGCGAAGGGUAGGCAACAAGAUCGAUAAACCAAGAUGGCGACGCGCAUUGCCGCAGAGUACCGCAGCCCGGCUCUCGACCGUCCUCGGAUCAUCCACGGCGUGUGUAGCUUUUAAACGCACGCACACACAAGCGUCCAUUAACGGGACACACACGUCGGAUGUAGCGUCGUCGUCGUCGUCGUCGUCGUAAUCGCAACAGAGCGCUUCCUCCCACGGUAUACUUCCCGUAAAUAACGCAUGAAAUACGCGUUGUGUUCGAAUAUCCGAUUCGAUCAUACUUAAUAAUAAUAGUAGUGACGGGGGCGGUCCUCCUGCGAAGCCCACUUUGGCACUUAGACCGAGUCCAUUGUGCCUCAAGUUCGUUCGAUCAUACUUACAUCACCGUCGGAUGUUUACGUUCCUUGCUCCUAAAUCUUAAAACUCGUUUUCGAGCGAGCGAAGGGAAACAAUCACGCAAACUGAAUGCGCCAGUGAUCAAGAUAUAUUCAUGGUCAGACAGUCCUCGCAUUUCGGUUCUACUCGAUUCCGUAGACAUAUCUGUUCUAUUAUAACCACGCAUUACUUUCCACAAUGUUUUCUUUUUUCAAAAAACUUCUAAAAAUAUUAAAAUUUCAUUUUCUUUGGAAAAUAUGCAACUAUUGUUCCUUAUUUUUAACUUAUUUUAAUUUUAAAUUAUUCUAUCUUGUUUUCAUUUUGCUUAUUUAGUAGAAGUUUCACCAAAAUUAAAAAAAAAAAUAAUUUCCGUGCAAAUUGUUACUGCAAAGUGUACAUAUUAAUAUUGUAUAUGUGUGUGUAAAAAUAUUUAUUAAAAAGUAUUAAAUUUUUGAAAUUAUGAAAAUUGUAAUGUUAAUAAAUAACUAUUGUAUAAUAUAUUUUAAUAAAAUUAUAAUUUUUAUAAAUUAACGUUCAAAACAAUCAUAAAAGCUAGGUAUUAAUAUUUAAAUAUAACAAACAACAAAUAUUUUAAUAAUCUUCAUAUUACAUAUUACGUAUUAAUUAUAAAUUACAUCGUGUAUUAUUGAUACGUAUUAUAGAUAUGUUUCAAUUUUCAUUUAUUUCAAUUUUAAUAAAUUACAUACAUUUGCAUGUUUUAAAUUUAAUAAUUUAUAUUUUAACAAAUCAAUAAAAGAAAAUACGAACUUACACGUUUCUUAUUUGCUGACAAAUGGUAAGGAAUGAUUGCAACAAUCGGCAACACGCAUUCGUAUUACAGUUUUCCUCACGCUAAGCCCGAUGAAAAUCGCGAUUGUGUGCGAUCGAGACGGGCCUCGAUUCGCCACAGGCACGUCGGAUGUGCAUUGCACUCGCGGAAAAUUGAAACGCUGAUGCGAGGAGAGCGCGCAUGAGAUUAUUUCACUCGGUACUCCGCGUCGCGCGUCCGCCACUCGAACGCGAAUGCACUCCAUGAAUACCUGCAGACAUCUUCGAUCCAACAGCACGCUCGACUGCUCUUCCGCGUUCCUGAGAAAAAUUCCCGACGAGAUAACCCGUCGUAUCUAGCAUUUCGCCACGACGCGACUCUAUGUUCCAGCACGAGAAAGGGGAUAGUAGAUAGAGGAAUAAAGCGCGGAGUUUAAUGCCUUCUUCGCGAUUGCAUCGCGGAAACACUGAUACCGUGUACUUUCAAUUACAAAAACCGUUCUGUAAUUAGAGGAAUUCAUCGGUCGAAGUCUUUUAAUCAUCGUGCGUUUUGUGAGUGCAAUUCUAUUUCUCUAUUUGCAGGAAGGACGGCAAAUUCAAAGCCCUUUAAUUUUAGAACGACUGUACAGAAUAUCAUGAAUGAAAACGGACGCGGACGGCUGCAACAGAAUCUUCAAUGGGCAAGUGCCAUCCGCAACGGGCGGAUUUUUCUCACCAGGCUUGUAUCCUAUCCUCUCGCAUCCCCUCUCGCGAAUUCCCUUACCGAGUAUUUCGCUACCUUCACUUUUGCGUUCAUCCAUAUUCACCCUCUCUGCGUCGCGCAUCACCGAGGAGCUCCCGUAAUCUCGAAAGUAGUGAUGGCAACGAUAACGACGACGACGAAGAUCGUUUAUUUCGCUAUUGAUUCGUAUCGUGUUCGAUCUCGCCCAGCCCAGCUCGCCCCCAAAACCAAGCGAGACUCUCCUCUCGGGAACUCCCGAGAGAGGAGGAGCUGAUUUGUCGUCAUCGUCGCGCGCAAACGGAAUCGUUACGAGCGUAAGGCUCUGAGAGAUACGGCCCCGGAGGGUAUUUACGGGCGAUAGCUGUUCGAGAGUGCCCGAGGCAUUUAUAAAGUCCCAUCAAACCCUCCGGAGGAAACGGCCCGACCACGGUGUCAAUCAUAGUCGCCGAGCUGUAAGAACGGACCCACCAUGGCACGUGUCCGCGCAACUUCCGUGGUAAGAUAAGGGGUGAGCAGUCUCUGGGAGAAAUGUACUCAAUACGUAACGUCUCCCUAGAUUUUCUUGGGAAAUUCAGGUGUCAAUUUUUCCUCGGCGGAAAUUCAAUUAUAAGCGUAAGCUUCUGUCGUAAUAUAUAUCAAGUUUUUUAUAAUUACAUAUUUAAAAAAAAACACAACCUAUAACUUUCAAUUGAUAAGUUAAUUAAACACAAAAUUGAAAAAUGUAUAUAAAGUUAAUUCGAAAAUAUUAUUAGACAUUAAGAUCCAUUUAUUCCGUUCCCUCAGUCGUGCCUUUCUUAAAAAAAUUAGAAUUCAUUAUUUUUCCGACAAAGCUUUAAAAAAAGAAUCUGUGUAAUAUUUCAAAUUUUUAUAAUGUUAAAUAUUUUACCGAUUAUACUAUCAAAUAAAUAUAUUCUAUUUAUAUAAAUAGAUUUCGUAAAUUAUAGAUACCGAUAGUUAAUAAGACUGCAUGUAGAUAGAAAUAAUUUAGAGAUCACUAUUUUGCAAAUCUCUAUUAUCUUUUUCCGAUUACAGCUCGCCGAAAAAGCUCGUCCUGAAUGAGAAAGAACGUUCAGCUUUAACACCCACCUUGUGUCGCGUGACUAACUAUACCCACGACAUGCGAGUCUGCGGUUAUUUGCAAGGGGAAGCUGUCGACUUCCGAGCUUUGCCUCCACUCGUGAAAAAAGAAGAGCCAAGUAACACGUGAACUUAAUGCACCAAACGUAUGAAGUGAUUUCAACGAGUAUCAAUGACACGAUAGUAUGAAACAUUCGAUAUAAAGGGGAAUGACAUGUUGAGGAAAACAUUAGAUCGCAGAGCAGGACAAAGAGCGAUUGAGCGAGAGAGUUGAGUAGGAAUGAUGAUGUAAACCGCGAGUAAGCAUCGUUUCCUGACAUAGCUCGUGCUGUUCGAGCUCUUCGAAAUGGACACAUGCAUAAAGUAAGCAGAGCACGUGGCUGUAUGACGAGAGACGACUCGAUUUCAAUAGCUCACGCGCGCGCGAGGAGAGUCAUUUCUAUGAAGUACUACCCUUAAUAUGAACACCUCCUUUCAUACUUUGCACUUUUGCCUCCACCGAGCUUAUUCAUCAUCGCUUUUUUUGACGUUCGUGAAAUUAACAGACUCACUGUGGUUAUUUAAAUUAAUAAGGGAUAAAUAAAGGAUAAACGACCUUUUUUUACAAUUAUUUUUAAAUUUUAUAUCAAACUAGAUUUUUUAACACUCUGGCCGUUUUAAUAUUAUAUAAA